Molecule: ribosomal RNA, 373 nt
Filed under: uncultured eukaryote
Lineage: Eukaryota
Description: partial 18S ribosomal RNA
Rfam family: Eukaryotic small subunit ribosomal RNA
Source: RNAcentral
CAAUAGCGUAUAUUUAAGUUGUUGCAGUUAAAAAGCUCGUAGUUGGAUUUUGGUUGAGAACGGCCGGUCCGCCGUUUGGUGUGCACUGGCUGGUUUCAACUUCCUGUAGAGGACGCGCUCUGGCUUCACGGCUGGACGCGGAGUCUACGUGGUUACUUUGAAAAAAUUAGAGUGUUCAAAGCGGGCUUACGCUUGAAUAUUUCAGCAUGGAAUAACACUAUAGGACUCCUGUCCUAUUUCGUUGGUCUCGGGACGGGAGUAAUGAUUAAGAGGAACAGUUGGGGGCAUUCGUAUUUCAUUGUCAGAGGUGAAAUUCUUGGAUUUAUGAAAGACGAACUUCUGCGAAAGCAUUUGCCAAGGAUGUUUUCAUUAA